Molecule: long non-coding RNA, 242 nt
Organism: Vitis riparia (riverbank grape)
Lineage: Eukaryota; Viridiplantae; Streptophyta; Magnoliopsida; Vitales; Vitaceae
Exons: 2
Source: RefSeq, a predicted model, not a curated record
UUCUCAAGUGUCGUAGAAUGAAUGCAGAGGAGAGGCCGAUCAUGUUGGAUGUAGCAAAACAACUCAGGCGAAUUCAAAGGGGAAAUUUCAUUUCUGAUGAAGCAAUUCGCAAUGAUAUGUUUUCUUCGUACAAUAUUGGAUCGACACGUCUCUUGUGCCACCGAAAGGCUCUCGAGUAAUAUGGUAUUUUAAAUCAAUGUGUGAAAGACCGUACAUUUUAUUUAAAUUUCUUAUUUUUUUAA